This 323-nucleotide ribosomal RNA is filed under the name uncultured bacterium. RNAcentral's name for it is "bacterial SSU rRNA". It matches the Rfam family "Bacterial small subunit ribosomal RNA", at positions 28 to 334 of the family's 1533-position model. The record is from RNAcentral.
GAUGAACGCUGGCGGCGUGCCUAACACAUGCAAGUCGAGCGGGAUUUUCCGGAUUGAAGCUUCGGUAGAUUGAAGGAAAUGAGAGCGGCGGACGGGUGAGUAACGCGUAGGCAACCUGCCCUUUGCAGAGGGAUAGCCAUUGGAAACGAUGAUUAAAACCUCAUAAUGCCACGAAGUGACAUCGCUUUGUGGCCAAAGAUUUAUCGGCAAAGGAUGGGCCUGCGUCUGAUUAGCUGGUUGGUGAGGUAACGGCUCACCAAGGCGACGAUCAGUAGCCGGACUGAGAGGUUGAACGGCCACAUUGGGACUGAGAUACGGCCCAG